ACUUGUGGGCAGAGCAACUAGACACUCAGCUUCUCUCAAAUCGUAGUUGAAAUUCUAAACCAAGUGUGUUCCUUACUACUUCUUAGAUUACAAGGGAACAGAAGCGUAUGCCAAUACAAUAAACAUAAGAAAAUCUCAACCACAUCAUAUGAAAUCCUGCAUGGGUCAAUCAUCUUCUUACAGGGGGUACAGCACCCCGACCAGGUGCUGCUCCACGACCUGCUGCCUGAGCUUUAGCACGCAUUGCCAUAGCACGUCCCCUUCCAACACCAAGUGAUGAACCUUUGCCCUUAAUUCUAGCUUCUAGACGCUUGAACAUGGGAGCAUUCUUA
RNAcentral lists this unclassified non-coding RNA (332 nucleotides) under Hevea brasiliensis (rubber tree). The record is from RNAcentral. Lineage: Eukaryota; Viridiplantae; Streptophyta; Magnoliopsida; Malpighiales; Euphorbiaceae.